CGCACCUUGCGCUCCUUGGUAUUCCGAGGAGCAUGCCUGUUUGAGUGUCAUGAAAUUCUCAACCUUUCUAAGGCUUGGAUUGUGGAAGUUGCUGGUUCAGUCCGAGUCAGCUCUUCUUAAAUGCAUUAGCAGAGACCCGACCGUCUUUGAUAUGAUAAUUAUCUAUAUUAUUGACGAUAGGGAAAUCUUAUAUAUCAUGAUUUGACCUCAAAUCAGGUAGGACUACCCGCUGAACUUAA
RNAcentral lists this unclassified non-coding RNA (239 nucleotides) under Entoloma alboumbonatum. Its description in RNAcentral is "partial contains 5.8S ribosomal RNA, internal transcribed spacer 2, and large subunit ribosomal RNA". The record is from RNAcentral. Lineage: Eukaryota; Fungi; Basidiomycota; Agaricomycetes; Agaricales; Entolomataceae.